This 1171-nucleotide ribosomal RNA is filed under the name Pyramimonas parkeae. RNAcentral's name for it is "partial Bacterial large subunit ribosomal RNA". It matches the Rfam family "Bacterial large subunit ribosomal RNA", at positions 176 to 1435 of the family's 2925-position model. Lineage: Eukaryota; Viridiplantae; Chlorophyta; Pyramimonadophyceae; Pyramimonadales; Pyramimonadaceae. The record is from RNAcentral.
CUAUAAAAUUUCGUGAACUGAAACAUCUAAGUAACGAACAGAAAAGAAAUCAACCGAGAUAAAGGUAGUAGUGGCGAGCGAAACCUUCACAGUCAAAUAGUUUUUUUUUAGAUAAAGAAAAUUACCAAAGUAGGUCAUUCAGUCCUGUAUAAAAUCUAAAAUCAAAUUUUUAUAAAAAUUAAGUAAGAGGAAUUAUACUCUGAAAUGGGGAACCACCCUCAAAGACUAAAGGAAGUAUUAUGAGCGACAGUGAAAAGUACUGUAAAGGAAAGAUGAAAAGACCCCCUUGAAGGGGAGUGAAAAAGAUCACGAAAAUCUAGAGGUAAAAAGCAGUUGUUAAUUAUAUUUUCAACCUACCUUUUGCAUAAUGGGUCAACGAGUACAUCCUUUUAAUUCGCUAGCUUUUAUUUAGGCGUAUUGAAAAAAAAAAUAUAGUGGAAAGGAUUUUGCCCGAAAGCGAGUGAUCUACCUCUGAACAGGUGGCAAAAGAAGUAAAAUUCUUUGAAAGACCGAACUCAUGUAUGUUGCAAAAUACUGAGAUGAUUUGGGGGUAGGAGUGAAAGGCUAAUCAAACUCGCAGAUAGCUGGUUUUUCGCGAAAUCGAUAGAAGUCGAGCCAAUAAUAAAUUAUCUUAGGGAGUAGAGCACUUUUUGGGUUAGGGUUGUUCAAAACUUUACCGAUCCCUGAAAAACUACGAAUCCCUAUUUAGAUAAUAAUAUUGAGACAGGCUUAGGAUGCUAAGGUCCUAAGUCAAAAGGGCAACAGCCCUAAUUGUUUUUUAAGGUCCUAAAGCAAAGUUUGAGUGAUAAAGAAAGUUUUUUUACAAUGACAACCAGGAGGUGAGCUUGGAAGCAGCUAUUCUUUUAAGAAAUCGUAACAGAUCACUGGUCGAGUAAAAAUGCGUCUAAAAUAUAAGAGGACUUAAAUCUUUCACCGAUAAAACAAAUUUUAAUUUUAAAUUUAAUUAAAAUGGUAGCGAAACGUUCUGUAAUAAUCCUGAAGGUAACUUCAUAAAUCAGAAGUGCGAAUGUUGACAUAAGUAGCGUAAAAUUAUUUUAAAAAAAUAAUCGACAAAAUUUCAAGGUUUUCAUCGUACUGUUAAUCAGCGAUGACAUAUUUAGCCCCUAGGAUGAAGUAGAGAAAUCACUUUUCUAUGGGAAACAAGAAAAAU